Molecule: ribosomal RNA, 376 nt
Filed under: uncultured Leptolyngbya sp.
Lineage: Bacteria; Bacillati; Cyanobacteriota; Cyanophyceae; Leptolyngbyales; Leptolyngbyaceae
Description: bacterial LSU rRNA
Rfam family: Bacterial large subunit ribosomal RNA
Source: RNAcentral
GCUUUACUGUAGCCUGGAAUUGGGUUCGGGCUUUGACUGCGCAGGAUAGGUGGGAGGCUAUGAAGUUGCUCUUGUGGGAGCAAUGGAGCCGUCAGUGAGAUACCACUCUGUUAAGGCUAGAAUUCUAACCUUUAUCCGUGACCCGGAGAGGGAACAGUUUCAGGUGGGCAGUUUGACUGGGGCGGUCGCCUCCUAAAUGGUAACGGAGGCGCGCAAAGGUUCUCUCAGGCUGGUUGGAAAUCAGCCGUAGAGUGUAAAAGCACAAGAGAGCUUGACUGUGAGAGAAACACCUCGAGCAGGGACGAAAGUCGGCUUUAGUGAUCCGACGGCUGAGCGUGGAAUCGCCGUCGCUAAACGGAUAAAAGUUACUCUAGGG